This 96-nucleotide small nuclear RNA is filed under the name Sus scrofa (pig). Lineage: Eukaryota; Metazoa; Chordata; Mammalia; Artiodactyla; Suidae. The record is from RNAcentral.
GUGUGUGCGCACACACACGAACUGGAAUGAUAGAGAGGAUUAGCAUGGCCUCUGCACAAGGAUGACACAUAAAUACAUGAAGUGUUCCAUACUUUU